CCCAACCCUGGUUGACGAACUGUCACCCGCACAAAAGGUAAAGCAGAAUAGAUGAAAAGUGAGCGAAAGUUAACGUGAACAAUACAAUCACAAAGUUACGUAUAAAUUACAAAGUUAUAUAUUUAAAAGUAGUAAAAAUACUCUAUUGGCCAGUGCCCAGAGAUUAGCCCUUUUUGAUUCCGUCACAUACGAUACAGAAUACAGAUUACGAUUGCCACGCUAAAAUUACAAAUUAUUUGUGCAACUACGAAUAGAAUUACUACAGAUUCAAAGCAAACACUAAACGAAUUUAAUAUCAUCCUGAAAAUAAAAGGUGUUAUAAAAUCGGAAAAUUUGCUUUCUAUUCAGUUGCUUGCGCAACAGUGGUGGACAUCCAAUGUAUUAGAUUACCAGUUUUAAUACAGAAAAGUUAUUAUAUUUAGUAUAUAUCAAUACACAUGACGUUAGACCAGCGAUACUCAACCUGCGGCCCGGCAGUCCUUCUGGUUGGCCCAUCUGGUGUGUAUGAUGUUUGGAACUCAUACACAUAAGUACUUUUGCCUUGACAUCAUUGCAGACGAAAGAGAGGAUACGGUUAUUCACAAUUAAUGAAAAAUUGCAUUCUCUGCAGAUAAGACUGUUUUGCUGAAAUGCAAGGAGAUUUAUUGAAAAAUAGUUAAGUUAGGGUCAGGACUAUGUCUUCUGAGUAUUUAGACAACAUCGAAUAAAAAUUUUCAUUCUAUUUUCAACAACUUACAUUUGCUUUCGGGUCUGCUUAUGACGAAAUAUGGGUUACUGUUCGAUAUUGUUACGACAGACAUGGUUCAUGGCCGUGUGGUGAUCUAAAACUUGUAUAGCCUUGCAUGGCGGAUGGAAAAUAUACACUGCAUUUUUUUAUAAAUUUCAUCAACGACAAGACCGCAAGCCUUGGUGGAUGUCCAAUGUAUCAACGGAGAAAUACUGUUUUUUAUAAAAAUUAACAACGCGUAUGUAUGUGUAUGUAUGUGUAUGUAUGUAUGUGU
Molecule: long non-coding RNA, 1001 nt
Organism: Toxorhynchites rutilus septentrionalis
Lineage: Eukaryota; Metazoa; Arthropoda; Insecta; Diptera; Culicidae
Exons: 5
Source: RefSeq, a predicted model, not a curated record